RNAcentral lists this ribosomal RNA (511 nucleotides) under Aspergillus clavatus. RNAcentral describes it as "SSU rRNA". It matches the Rfam family "Eukaryotic small subunit ribosomal RNA", at positions 23 to 536 of the family's 1831-position model. The record is from RNAcentral. Lineage: Eukaryota; Fungi; Ascomycota; Eurotiomycetes; Eurotiales; Aspergillaceae.
GUCAUAUGCUUGUCUCAAAGAUUUAAGCCAUGCAUGUCUAAGUAUAAGCAAUCUAUACGGUGAAACUGCGAAUGGCUCAUUAAAUCAGUUAUCGUUUAUUUGAUAGUACCUUACUACAUGGAUACCUGUGGUAAUUCUAGAGCUAAUACAUGCUAAAAACCUCGACUUCGGAAGGGGUGUAUUUAUUAGAUAAAAAACCAAUGCCCUUCGGGGCUCCUUGGUGAAUCAUAAUAACUUAACGAAUCGCAUGGCCUUGCGCCGGCGAUGGUUCAUUCAAAUUUCUGCCCUAUCAACUUUCGAUGGUAGGAUAGUGGCCUACCAUGGUGGCAACGGGUAACGGGGAAUUAGGGUUCGAUUCCGGAGAGGGAGCCUGAGAAACGGCUACCACAUCCAAGGAAGGCAGCAGGCGCGCAAAUUACCCAAUCCCGAUACGGGGAGGUAGUGACAAUAAAUACUGAUACGGGGCUCUUUUGGGUCUCGUAAUUGGAAUGAGUACAAUUUAAAUACCUUA